This 241-nucleotide long non-coding RNA is filed under the name Gossypium barbadense (sea-island cotton). RNAcentral's name for it is "long non-coding RNA (GBAR_LNC009223)". Lineage: Eukaryota; Viridiplantae; Streptophyta; Magnoliopsida; Malvales; Malvaceae. The record is from RNAcentral.
CCUUUGGAAAUUCACUAUAAAUUGACCAGAGAUAAUUAGGGGUCAUACCAUAUAUGUAUGGAUUCCUCUCUGAGUCUAGUUUCCAUAGAAACAAACGGCAUUAGUAUUGAAGCCCUGUGCAGAGAGAUAUCCCAGUCGUAAUGGGAAAAGGUCAGUGUAGUCGACCCCUGUAACAUGAGAGACUUUGACUAAUAAACUGUACUAAUUGGCCCGACCAAAAAUUCUAGAAAAAAAUAUAUAG